AGUCGACGAGACCUUCGGGUCUAGUGGCGCACGGGUGCGUAACGCGUGGGAAUCUGCCCUUGGGUUCGGAACAACAGUUGGAAACGACUGCUAAUACCGGAUGAUGACUUCGGUCCAAAGAUUUAUCGCCCAAGGAUGAGCCCGCGUAGGAUUAGCUUGUUGGUGAGGUAAAAGCUCACCAAGGCGACGAUCCUUAGCUGGUCUGAGAGGAUGAUCAGCCACACUGGGACUGAGACACGGCCCAGACUCCUACGGGAGGCAGCAGUGGGGAAUAUUGGACAAUGGGCGAAAGCCUGAUCCAGCAAUGCCGCGCGAGUGAUGAAGGCCUUAGGGUUGUAAAGCUCUUUUACCCGGGAUGAUAAUGACAGUACCGGGAGAAUAAGCCCCGGCUAACUCCGUGCCAGCAGCCGCGGUAAUACGGAGGGGGCUAGCGUUGUUCGGAAUUACU
This 448-nucleotide ribosomal RNA is filed under the name uncultured bacterium. RNAcentral describes it as "bacterial SSU rRNA". It matches the Rfam family "Bacterial small subunit ribosomal RNA", at positions 60 to 555 of the family's 1533-position model. The record is from RNAcentral.